GCCUGAGAUACCUUAGUUGGUAGCGCAUGAGACUCUUAGUCUUAAGGGUCAUGGGUUCAAGCACCAUGUUGGGCA
Podarcis lilfordi (Lilford's wall lizard) is the source of this 75-nucleotide non-coding RNA. The record is from the annotation of a GenBank genome assembly. Lineage: Eukaryota; Metazoa; Chordata; Lepidosauria; Squamata; Lacertidae.